Mustela erminea (ermine) is the source of this 539-nucleotide long non-coding RNA. RefSeq lists it as uncharacterized. The transcript has 3 exons. Lineage: Eukaryota; Metazoa; Chordata; Mammalia; Carnivora; Mustelidae. The record is from RefSeq and is a predicted model, not a curated record.
CCAAGACACUCAACGAGACAGCAAAGUAAAAAGGGUCAGGAAGGAAAUGGAUGACACAGAAGAUAAGCAAAGCAACACGGGUAAACUUAAAGAAGUCUUUACGAGGAAAUAUAAAAUGUGCGCUAGCUAUCAGAAGAAAUAAACACCAGUCUACAAACUGAAAGGAUCUACCAGUUAGCUGAAAAGAUGAAGCUGAAAUUGUCAACUCCAAAAUAAACUAAUAAAACUAUCUCAUUCCUGCCCUCUCUAUGUCUGUCGUUUCACUGAGCCCACAGUGGCUUAAUUACUGUGGCUUCCGAGGAGAAGUACUAAAAAGAAGAUGAGUGAAUGGGAAAUGGCCAUUGGCCGAGCGGGCCCAUGGAAAGCCACUCGAAGCCAGUGACAGGCAAAGAUGGGCAUGAAGUACUAGAGCAAGCUCUGAGAAGGUCCAGGGGAAGAGCACAGGUGUUGAAAUUGAGGAUGACCAAACUGCAUUUAGUUCAUGCAAGGUUGUAACAGACAAGUGGCAUCUGGAAAUAAUGAAGACUUUUUGCCCAAUU